UGAGAUUUCCCAACUUCGGUUAUAAGAUCCCUCGAAGAUGACGAGGUUAAUAGGUUCGAGGUGGAAGCGUGGUGACACGUGGAGCUGACGAAUACUAAUCGAUCGAAGACUUAAUCAA
RNAcentral lists this ribosomal RNA (118 nucleotides) under Staphylococcus epidermidis NIH04008. RNAcentral's name for it is "partial 23S ribosomal RNA". It matches the Rfam family "Bacterial large subunit ribosomal RNA", at positions 2805 to 2925 of the family's 2925-position model. The record is from RNAcentral. Lineage: Bacteria; Bacillati; Bacillota; Bacilli; Caryophanales; Staphylococcaceae.